RNAcentral lists this ribosomal RNA (82 nucleotides) under Timarcha interstitialis. Its description in RNAcentral is "partial 5.8S ribosomal RNA". Lineage: Eukaryota; Metazoa; Arthropoda; Insecta; Coleoptera; Chrysomelidae. The record is from RNAcentral.
GGACACAUGAACAUCGACAUUUCGAACGCACAUUGCGGUCCUCGGAUACUGUUCCCGGACCACUCCUGGCUGAGGGUCGUAU